AGUGAACGCUGGCGGUAGGCCUAACACAUGCAAGUCGAACGGCAGCACAGUAAGAGCUUGCUCGUACGGGUGGCGAGUGGCGGACGGGUGAGGAAUACAUCGGAAUCUACUUUUUCGUGGGGGAUAACGUAGGGAAACUUACGCUAAUACCGCAUACGACCUACGGGUGAAAGCAGGGGAUCUUCGGACCUUGCGCGAUUGAAUGAGCCGAUGUCGGAUUAGCUAGUUGGCGGGGUAAAGGCCCACCAAGGCGACGAUCCGUAGCUGGUCUGAGAGGAUGAUCAGCCACACUGGGACUGAGACACGGGCCAGACUCCUACGGGAGGCAGCAGUGGGGAAUAUUGGACAAUGGGCGCAAGCCUGAUCCAGCCAUACCGCGUGGGUGAAGAAGGCCUUCGGGUUGUAAAGCCCUUUUGUUGGGAAAGAAAAGCAGCAGGUUAAUACCCCGCUGUUCUGACGGUACCCAAAGAAUAAGCACCGGCUAACUUCGUG
RNAcentral lists this ribosomal RNA (492 nucleotides) under uncultured bacterium. RNAcentral describes it as "partial 16S ribosomal RNA". It matches the Rfam family "Bacterial small subunit ribosomal RNA", at positions 29 to 507 of the family's 1533-position model. The record is from RNAcentral.